This 908-nucleotide ribosomal RNA is filed under the name uncultured bacterium. RNAcentral's name for it is "bacterial SSU rRNA". It matches the Rfam family "Bacterial small subunit ribosomal RNA", at positions 554 to 1461 of the family's 1533-position model. The record is from RNAcentral.
UUGGGCGUAAAGGGCUCGUAGGUGGUUGACUGCGUCGAAGUGUAAUCUUGGGGCUUAACCCUGAGCGUGCUUUCGUACGGGUUGACUUGAGGAAGGUAGGGAGAAUGGAAUUCCUGGUGGAGCGGUGGAAUGCGCAGAUAUCAGGAGGAACACCAGUGGCGAAGGGCGGUUUUGGGCCUUUCCUGAACGCUGAGGAGCGAAAGCGUGGGGAGCGAACAGGCUUAGAUACCCUGGUAUCCACGCUGUAAACCGGUGGGUACUAGGUGUGGGGUCCAUUCCCACGGGUUCCGUGCCGUAGCUAACGCUUUAAGUACCCCGCCUGGGGAGUACGGCCGCAAGGCUAAAACUCAAAGGAAUUGACGGGGCCCCGCACAAGCGGCGGAGCAUGCGGAUUAAUUCGAUGCAACGCGUAGAACCUUACCUGGGUUUGACAUGGAUCGGGAGUGCUCAGAGAUGGGUGUGCCUCUUUUGGGGUCGGUUCACAGGUGGUGCAUGGCUGCAUGGCUGUCGUCAGCUCGUGUCGUGAAUGUUGGGUUAAGUCCCGCAACGAGCGCAACCCUUGUUCACUGUUGCCAGCACGUUAUGGUGGGGACUCAGUGGAGACCGCCGGGGUCAACUCGGAGGAAGGUGGGGAUGACGUCAAGUCAUCAUGCCCCUUAUGUCCAGGGCUUCACGCAUGCUACAAUGGCUGGUACAGAGAGUGGCCGAGCCUGUGAGGGUGAGCGAAUCUCGGAAAGCCGGUCUCAGUUCGAUUGGGUCUGCAACUCGACCUCAUGAAGUCGGAUCGUUAGUAAUCGCAAUCAGCAACGCUGCGGUGAAUACGUUCCCGGGCUUGUACACCCGCCCGUCAAUCAUGAAAGUUGGUAACACCCGAACCGGUGGCCUAACCGUUUGGGGGACCGUCGAAG